UCAUUUACAGACCUUUCGGGUUAUGUUUAGUACAUUGGAGUUAUUGGUGUCAUACAAAAGAAAAAUGCAUUAUUAUUAGAUUUGUAGAAAUUAUUAUUUGACUCUGAUACAGCUAAUAGUCAUGUGAUGCGUACAUGAUGUAUGGAACUUUACAACCAGAAUAGAGUGAAAUAAGGAGGGGCUUCGAGUUUUAUCUUAGAUUUGGACAUCGACGCAUCUUUAAUAUGAAAUUUUUCUAUGUACUUCUGCUUUUGAGCGUUGUUUGCUCUGUGGAAGGAGGUACUUGUGAUGGAAACAUUUACAUUCCUAUCAUCGUAAUUCUCUGUGAAGCAAUGCUGCUUUCUUUAGCCGUAAAUGUCUACAUUAUCUGCAUGACAAGAUAUAGAGACUCGUGCCAGAACUUUUACAAUAAUUAUAUUGCUGUCUGGUGUAGUCGUGGAACAGCGAAUGAGCCUGAGCAAUCAGAUGACCAGGUUCCAGACGACACAUUAUACUCUCUGAGUGUUUCCAGAGACAGAGAGUGUGAGGAACGAGCAGAAGUGAACCCCAAUGAGUGUGUGUACUCUGCUGUGAAAACCUAGAAAAGAUUAGACCUCAUCAAAAACGUAUGCUAAAAAAUUUUUAUCUUUCGCUCUGUUAUUGUUUUUCAUUUUUGUUUUCAUUUUCAUUAAGUUUAUCUGUCAUUUAUAGUUAAGAAAAUGUUGCAUACUUUUCUGAAUAUGUUAAAGUUUUGCAGUGUGAAAAUAAAUAAAUAAACAGAGAUGCUUGUGAACUACUGUCCCAGCACAAGAGUCAAAGAGCUGAAGUCUAGUGGAUAGUUUAUUGUAGAACCACCUCACUCACAGUUUAUCAGGUUUCAGUGGACACUGUUAGUAGUUUUUGGUUGUUAAUUAGGUUCACUGUUGGUUAUCGGCUGGUAUCUGUAUCUUCUGGCUAAAUGCAAAUGAGCAAUUAACACAUUUCUGUGCGAUAUGUGCGGUUACAUGAGAAGCAUGCACUUUAAAGAAACUGGUUGCGUAAGACAGUAAAUUCAUAUAUCUGUGAAUUGUGUGGUCGAGAAAAAAAAAUAUUUAGCUUUUUUUUCAUUAUAUUUACUAAAGAAUAUUUUGGAAGGAUUUGGAAUUCUAUAUUAACAGAAAAAUGGAGUUUAAGAUCGAACAUUUUAUAUUUUAUGUCAUUUUUUUAUACAAAAAACGAAAAUGUAAAUUAUAAAGAACAACAUAUUAUACAGUUGUUUAUUUUGUUAGGAAAAUUCCAUAUACAGUACAUGAGAAAAAGUGGGCUCAAUGUAAACCAAAUUUUGCACAUUUUAUAAAUGAUUUUAAAUUGGAACAAACAAAAAAGCACUGAAAACAUGUAAUGCUCUGAAAUCAUUGAAAUGUAUUUCAUUUUCUUUUUCUCUCCCUCACUCUCUUUUUUCUUCUCUCUGGCAGCUAAUGUUAAUUUGAUAACGCAAGUAUGUAAUUUCUCAUGUUCUUGUGGCAUUGAAUUAAUAAAUCAUAAAAGAAAGAAAGAAAGAAACCGGUUGCUGUCAGCAGUUCAAAACAUAGCAGAUGCAUUUUUCUAUUGAUUUAGCCUUUGUGUGAUGUAGGACUUAAUGUGAUUUACUUUUUUUUUUUUUAUCAUAUGUCUGAAAAUUUUAUUUCAUACAGGCCAGCACAGAAGUGAAUGUACUAAUGUUGUAAAUUUACAAUUCAACAAGUUUGUUUGACUUGAAAUGCUAUGUAUUGUGACUGAAAUGCUCAUAUUUUGGUGACAAUAAAUGGUUAACAGCACAAGCUUUGUCGUUGCCUGCAAUCUCAAAGCUCACCUUAUGAGGGCAGCAGAACUCACUCAUUUUAAAAUGGUUGAAAAAACGAUUUGACUAUAUUUGAAUAUAAUGAGCUGAUUCUUAUACUAAAUUGUAGGCUAGUCUUACAAUAUGAUUGUAUUACUCUAGAUGUUGGAUGGGCAAAGGUCGUAAAGAUAUGGUGAUAGCUACUAAAAUGCAUUCAACACUUUCUGUGAUUCAUCAAGUUUUCUGAGCAUUGUCAGAUGAAUUAUGAAAUUAUUUUGCCCAUGAACACAGAAAGAUCUGUCACAUCAGAUGAACAUCACAGCCUCCUGAAGCUCUCAGAUUGUGGCUCCUCUCAUGACUUUGUUCUUUGAAUCUGCUGGAUGACUCAGGAUUUAUAUGCUUGACCCCAGAGCUGCCCCAGACGUGACAGACAGUGUUAGCAUAUGCAUUACCGAAAGGGCCAAAAUAACUGCACUGUUAAAGAGGGAUUUUUACCAUUCAACUGAACUAUGUGCAUGUAUUUUAGACUCAUUGUUCUUGUUCCAUCAAUGCAGUACGGUAUGACCCUUUUCAGGAGUUGCAAUUUAUUAGAACUCUCUCUUUUAUUACAAUUUAAAAUCAGAUCAAAGCUCACAUACACUAAAAUACUGAAACGCUUAUGAUGCUGAUUCAAAACAACAACGCCGGUGACUGACAGUCAAACAAAGUGCGGUUCGAGCGGUCCACCCCCACAGCUGAACUAGAAGUUUUGAUUGUUUUUUUUACCCGAGCCAGACCUGUCUGUUAUUGGCUGAAGCGUAGGGGCUCCACCCUAGGAUUUUGAAAAAUUCCUGUUAAAAAUGCCAGCUCGCUCUGUUAUCCAUCAGCGCCUUCUUUGUCUAUUUUUUAGUUGAAUACACUAGUUUUAUUCUACUCUAGUAAAAGUAAAAGUACCACAAUUUAAUUAUAUUCUAUAUCUACUCAAGAAAGUAGAAAAAAAGUAAAAUGUACUUAAGUACUGUAACAAAAGUAUUUGUAAUUAGUUACUCUCCACCUCUGCUUUUUAUCAAGACCUACAACACAUGCAACAUUUUUUUUAAGUGUGAUGAAAAUGUUACACCCCUUACCAUAUACUAUGAUGCUCUGUGUCCCGGCGCGAUGAGACAAAACCAAUAAACCCAUUACAAACAAGGCAUUUGUUUGCAAGAACAUUAGGCUGGCGUUAUGCAAAUCUUCCCACAUUGUGACGCGGACAUGUGGGGGUGUGUUAUAACGAGCCGUUUUAGGAGGGUGUGGUUGACUCUUAAAUUUAUAAAGAAUAUCUCUUUGGAUUUCAG
Molecule: long non-coding RNA, 3093 nt
Organism: Carassius gibelio (silver crucian carp)
Lineage: Eukaryota; Metazoa; Chordata; Actinopteri; Cypriniformes; Cyprinidae
Exons: 5
Source: RefSeq, a predicted model, not a curated record